AAAUUGAAGAGUUUGAUCAUGGCUCAGAUUGAACGCUGGCGGCAGGCCUAACACAUGCAAGUCGAGCGGUAGCACAGAGAGCUUGCUCUCGGGUGACGAGCGGCGGACGGGUGAGUAAUGUCUGGGAAACUGCCUGAUGGAGGGGGAUAACUACUGGAAACGGUAGCUAAUACCGCAUAAUGUCGCAAGACCAAAGUGGGGGACCUUCGGGCCUCAUGCCAUCAGAUGUGCCCAGAUGGGAUUAGCUAGUAGGUGGGGUAACGGCUCACCUAGGCGACGAUCCCUAGCUGGUCUGAGAGGAUGACCAGCCACACUGGAACUGAGACACGGUCCAGACUCCUACGGGAGGCAGCAGUGGGGAAUAUUGCACAAUGGGCGCAAGCCUGAUGCAGCCAUGCCGCGUGUGUGAAGAAGGCCUUCGGGUUGUAAAGCACUUUCAGCGGGGAGGAAGGCGAUAAGGUUAAUAACCUUGUCGAUUGACGUUACCCGCAGAAGAAGCACCGGCUAACUCCGUGCCAGCAGCCGCGGUAAUACGGAGGGUGCAAGCGUUAAUCGGAAUUACUGGGCGUAAAGCGCACGCAGGCGGUCUGUCAAGUCGGAUGUGAAAUCCCCGGGCUCAACCUGGGAACUGCAUUCGAAACUGGCAGGCUAGAGUCUUGUAGAGGGGGGUAGAAUUCCAGGUGUAGCGGUGAAAUGCGUAGAGAUCUGGAGGAAUACCGGUGGCGAAGGCGGCCCCCUGGACAAAGACUGACGCUCAGGUGCGAAAGCGUGGGGAGCAAACAGGAUUAGAUACCCUGGUAGUCCACGCCGUAAACGAUGUCGAUUUGGAGGUUGUGCCCUUGAGGCGUGGCUUCCGGAGCUAACGCGUUAAAUCGACCGCCUGGGGAGUACGGCCGCAAGGUUAAAACUCAAAUGAAUUGACGGGGGCCCGCACAAGCGGUGGAGCAUGUGGUUUAAUUCGAUGCAACGCGAAGAACCUUACCUGGUCUUGACAUCCACAGAACUUUCCAGAGAUGGAUUGGUGCCUUCGGGAACUGUGAGACAGGUGCUGCAUGGCUGUCGUCAGCUCGUGUUGUGAAAUGUUGGGUUAAGUCCCGCAACGAGCGCAACCC
RNAcentral lists this ribosomal RNA (1112 nucleotides) under Klebsiella pneumoniae. RNAcentral's name for it is "bacterial SSU rRNA". It matches the Rfam family "Bacterial small subunit ribosomal RNA", at positions 1 to 1104 of the family's 1533-position model. Lineage: Bacteria; Pseudomonadati; Pseudomonadota; Gammaproteobacteria; Enterobacterales; Enterobacteriaceae. The record is from RNAcentral.